CAAAUCCACUGGUUUAGACACCAGGCACCAAUUUAAUCCUGAUACCAUAGCAUGAAUGCGAACAUACGGCUAAUAGAUUAUGUGUUCAGUAAGCUCCCUUUUCACCUUGGAGAAAGCAUAUAGUUACAUCACUGAAAGGAAGAAGCUGUAUAGAUCUGCCUUAGCAACAUGUUCAGCUUCUGUGAGGGAUGGGCUUCUCUUUGUGUGACACCACAGCCUGUAGUUAACACCAAGGGGAGGAAUGCAGAACAGCACCGGGGGGUGCUAUGAUCAUAUGCGGGUUCACUUUAUCAAAUAGUCUUUGAAUUUGCUCCUGAUGCUGGUUAGAGGAGUGGAUGCUUGCUGUCCUUGCCAACUUAUGUCAGCUCUUCCCGCAGAAAAUGUUGAGCAGGGUGAGAAAUAUGCUCUGUGAUCACAGGGGCUCCUGAUAGACGAAACAGGAUCACACUGAUUCUGGGGGUUUGCCUUUUUCCUGUGCUGUAGCAACACGGAGCAUUAAAACAGCUUGCCAAAACUGAAGGGCUUUCAAGCCAGUAAGUCAGGACACUCCUUGUUUCUUAAUAUUAGUGAUAUCAACUGAAUUGGCUAAUUAGGGACAUACCAUUUCUUGAUAUCAAUCCUGACAGGUAGUGGGGCUCUGGCAGAGAGAACAUGCUGUGUGACACAGCAGGAUGAGUUUGCACUGAAUUGCAAUUCCUCUCCACCUUCUUCCUUACGUUUGUAAUUUGCGCUUAGAAGUUGAUGAAGACAAUGCAGUCAGUCCAUGAACUUCAUCUGAAAUGAGCAUCAGCUCCCGAAACGGUGCUAACAUCAAGAUUAUCAUUCUGAACAAACACAAGGAGAAAGGCACUGCAGUCACAGCUGCUCGUGGAACAUCUAGUACCUUAAGUCGUGACACCAUCCAUGAAUUCUCUACCCAAAAGCUGGGUGCAAGGAUGAGCUCCAGCUGCUCAGCUCAGGCAUAUGUGAAAGAGGAGACGGGAUGUGCAACAGGAUUGAUGAAACAGCUGGAGGGCAGCAUCUACAUGUAUAAAAGAGCUUGCCAGAGAAAGACAGCGGGGAAGACUGCUAUAUUUGGUACACAGGGAGGCUUUCAGACUGUGAAGGGGGCAAGAUCAGAUGAGUGCAUUUGGAUCUAAGGACUCAGGGUAUUGUGCGAAGAUCUCCAGUUGAAGUUCAGUUCUCCCAUUCAUCAGCACAGGAUCUGCACAAAAGCAGAAGCUGUUGCCUGACCUUCAAGGCAGAACCACAGUAGCACCAUCCAGGAUAGACAUCUGUGUAUGUAAGGAACACCAAAGCAUCAUUUAAGUGCUACUGUGGAAGCAUUUGCCAGAAAGGGAAAACUUUCAGAAGAGGGAGAAAGGCCCAGAGAGACUGCAUGGGCUAUUCUUAGGGCUUUUUAUUCCUCCAGUCCUCCUACAUUCCUCCCUCUCACACUCUGCAGCUGCUAUGUUGAGAUCUCUUGCAUGGUAUUAACCACUUAUUGAACUUUCCAUCAGGUAGCUUCAUGGAGGACA
Long non-coding RNA from Neopsephotus bourkii (Bourke's parrot), 1517 nucleotides. RefSeq lists it as uncharacterized. The record is from RefSeq and is a predicted model, not a curated record. Lineage: Eukaryota; Metazoa; Chordata; Aves; Psittaciformes; Psittacidae. The transcript is spliced from 2 exons.